This is an RNA transcript of Populus nigra (black poplar), 1028 nucleotides long. RefSeq lists it as uncharacterized. Lineage: Eukaryota; Viridiplantae; Streptophyta; Magnoliopsida; Malpighiales; Salicaceae. The record is from RefSeq and is a predicted model, not a curated record. The transcript is spliced from 5 exons.
GCAGCAAAAAUAAAUAUACAAGUGAUCGAAAUUCAAAACUGUAACAAUAGAUUGGGUUCGGCAGAGAGAGAGAGAGAGUGUGAGGGGUAGAGGGGAGAGAAAUGGGGCUAUCGUGCUUCGCUUGCUUUGACGGGGGAAGAAAGCAACAGAGAAAAGAAGAAGAGAGGCUGGCCUCCGCAGAAGCUCGUGCUAAAGCGGCCGAAUCUGCCCAGAAACGGCAAGAGCAAUUCGAAAAGUCUGCAGCAGGGAGAGCUGCCUGCGCACAGCUACAGGGGAUGGCAAAGCAAUCUGCAAACUCUAACAAAGGCGAACCAGUUCUAAAGUGGCAGAUGAGUUGAAGUUGAAACCUGUCCUUAAUGCAGCCGCAGUUCUUAUUGUAAUGUCUCUCUUCGAAGCAUGGAUUCAGAUUCAUCUAAUGGGGUUCACAUGGAUCAAGCUACUGCGUUGAAGAUUCUCAGCUGCAUUUUGUAUUACACUGUGAAACAGGGGGAAAUGGCGGAAAUCUUGAUGUUCAUAGUGAUUAGUUUUCAAAUACUUGAUAAAUGCAGUCGUCGAUGACAGAAGAGAAAACACCAGAUUGUAGUUCUUUUCAUUCUGAGCUGAGCUCGUAACUGCAUGUGAUCAGCACAUACAUUCAUUGGAGAAACAUGGUUCAGGAUGCAGGUCCAGCUGAGGAUCGAGAUAAUUGGAACGAUUGACAUCUGUUGCUACAUCUAUUUGUAAAUUGUACCGGAUAGCUGACCCAUUAGUAUUUUGCACUUACAGAGCGGAUGUACACGUCCUAUUUUUAACCCUAGUCUAUCAUUCUUUCUUAGUGACUCUCUCGCUCUCUCUGUUUUUUUUUUAGUUAAUACAGUCUUCGGUGGCCUUAUAUACUGAAUUCUGAGUUAAAAAGUGUGUACAUGACUCGAGGAAAAGUGGAAAACAAUGAAAAUUUAUGUGCAUCUGGGGAGCUGAGAUGGCAAAGCAGAUACAAGACCUUUGUUUGAUCACUCAUAAUUAAUUCAUUUACUCACUGGUUUUUUCUA